UCCUUCGAUACCUCAUCCGACAUGAGGGUGAAUCGGACUGUCCCCAUACCCCGUCUGGUAUGAGCGCCAAAAGUACCAUCCAUUGAUACCCCAUCUGAUAUGAGGUAACAUUCACGGUAGGGUUUCCUAUGUAAUCGGUCCGUCCACCAUCUCUCAGGAUAUCCAGUAAAGACAAUCACUUAUUAAUUCACAUAAUCAAACAAUUUCUCAUUUUGUAUAUUAAUUUUUAUAUUACACAAAUCAACCGUAAAUCACGCAAGACAAGUGAU
This 269-nucleotide long non-coding RNA is filed under the name Carica papaya (papaya). Its description in RNAcentral is "long non-coding RNA (CPAP_LNC009372)". The record is from RNAcentral. Lineage: Eukaryota; Viridiplantae; Streptophyta; Magnoliopsida; Brassicales; Caricaceae.